RNAcentral lists this ribosomal RNA (253 nucleotides) under uncultured bacterium. RNAcentral describes it as "partial 16S ribosomal RNA". It matches the Rfam family "Bacterial small subunit ribosomal RNA", at positions 524 to 776 of the family's 1533-position model. The record is from RNAcentral.
UACGGAGGGGGCGAGCGUUGUUCGGAAUCAUUGGGCGUAAAGGGCGCGUAGGCGGCCGUCCAAGUCGGGUGUGAAAUCCCACGGCCCAACCGUGGAAGCGCCUCUGAUACUGCGGGCCUCGAGGGAGGUAGGGGCGUGCGGAACUCAGGGUGGAGCGGUGAAAUGCGUAGAUAUCCUGAGGAACACCGGUGGCGAAAGCGGCGCGCUGGACCUCUUCUGACGCUGAGGCGCGAAAGCCAGGGGAGCGAACGGG